GCCUCCUGCGCGGCGGUCGCUGCCUCCCAGAUAUAGUGCGGCACGGGGAGGCGCUGGCAGGCACUUGGUGAAUGGUGCUCCGCGGGUGCGGAGGGGCUGUGUGGACGGCAGCGGGGGUUUGCCUAGGCUGGUUGAGCACCUCCAACUUGGAACUGUCCACCGGUGCGAGCUCCUGAACAUGAGCCUCCUGCCUCUCUACCUGCUCGGAUUGCUCCUCAGUAGCGGGCAAGCUCUACUGCAAGUUACAAUUUCACUUAGCAAAGUUGAGCUCAGUGUGGGUGAAUCCAAGUUCUUCACAUGCACAGCCAUUGGUGAGCCUGACAACAUAGAUUGGUACAAUCCACAAGGAGAGAAGAUUGUUUCUAGUCAAAGAGUGGUUGUUCAGAAAGAAGGUGUUCGAUCACGUCUAACCAUUUAUAAUGCAGAUAUAGAAGAUGCUGGUAUAUAUCGAUGUCAAGCAUCAGAUGCUAAAGGACAAACUCAAGAAGCUACUGUUGUUUUGGAAAUUUAUCAAAAGCUCACGUUCCGAGACAUAGUAUCUCCACAAGAAUUCAGGCAGGGAGAAGAUGCAGAAGUUGUUUGCCAUGUUACUAGUUCACCUGCUCCUGUUGUCAGCUGGUUGUAUCGGAAUGAGGAAGUCACAACUAUUGCUGACAAUCGAUUUGCAGUAUUAGCUAACAAUAAUCUCCAAAUUCUUAACAUCAAUAAAAGUGAUGAAGGAGUAUACAGAUGUGAAGGAAGAGUGGAAGCAAGAGGAGAAAUUGACUUUCGGGACAUAAUUGUUAUUGUGAAUGUUCCCCCUGCAAUUACUCAGCUGCAGAAAUCUUUUAAUGCCACUGCAGAUCGAGGAGAGGCAAUAACUUUGUUCUGCAGAGCUACCGGAUCACCUCCACCUGAAAUCAGUUGGUAUAGGAAUGGUAAACCUAUUGAAGAAAAUGAAAAAUAUAUGCUGAGAGGAAGCAAUACAGAACUAACAAUAAGAGAUAUAAAGAAUAUUGAUGCAGGUCCUUAUAUCUGUAAUGCUAAAAACAAAGCAGGAAAUGAUAAAAAACAGACAUUCCUUCAAGUUUUUGUACAGCCUCAAAUAAUACAACUUAAGAAUGAAACCACAUUUGAGAAUGGGAAAGCCACCCUCAUCUGUGAAGCAGAAGGAGAACCUACCCCAGAGAUUACUUGGAAAAGGGCCAUUGAUGGAGUAACUUUCUCUGAAGGUGACAAGAGCCCAGAUGGCCGUAUAGAAGUGAAAGGGCAGCAUGGAAAAUCGUCGCUGCAUAUUAAAGAUGUGAAGUUGUCAGAUUCAGGGAGAUAUGACUGUGAAGCUGCAAGUAGAAUUGGUGGGCACCAAAAGAGCAUGUACCUUGAUAUUGAAUAUGCUCCAACAUUUGUGUCAAAUCAAACCAUGUAUUACUCUUGGGAAGGCAAUCCCAUCAAUAUAAGCUGUGAGGUGCUAGCAAAUCCGUCUGCCUCAGUUCAGUGGAGAAGAGGAAAAUUAGUUUUACCAGUAAAAAAUACAACACAUCUGAAGACCUACAGUACGGGAAGAAAGCUGAUUCUAGAGAUUGCUCCCACAUCUGACAGUGAUUUUGGACGGUAUAAUUGUACAGCCACAAACAGAAUAGGAACAAGAUAUCAGGAGUAUACACUUGGCCAAGCUGAUGUGCCAUCAAAUCCUUAUGGAGUACGAGUUUUAGAGCUGUCACAAACUACUGCCAAAGUUUUGUUCAACAAACCCGAUUCACAUGGAGGUGUGCCCAUUCAUCAUUACCAAGUGGAUAUAAAAGAGGUAGCCUCAGAAACCUGGAAAAUAGUUCGCUCCCAUGGAGUUCAAACCAUGGUUGUUCUCAGCAAUUUGGAACCAAAUACAACAUAUGAAAUCAAAGUAGCCGCUGUAAACGGAAAAGGGCAAGGAGAGUAUAGCAAAAUCGAGAUCUUUCAGACUUUACCUGUCCGGGAGCCAAGCCCCCCUUCAAUACAUGGACAACCAGAAAGUGGCAAGAGUUUUAAACUUAGCAUAACUAAACAAGAUGAUGGAGGUGCCCCCAUUUUGGAAUAUAUUGUCAAAUACAGGAGUAAAGAUAAGGAAGACCAGUGGCUAGAGAAAAAAGUGCAGGGUAGUAGAGACCACAUCAUCUUAGAGCAUCUUCAGUGGACCAUGGGUUACGAAGUACAAAUUACAGCUGCCAACAGACUGGGUUAUUCUGAACCAACAUUGUAUGAAUUCAGUAUGCCACCAAAGCCCAACAUUAUUACAGUAAUAAAGUCAUUUGAAAGUACAGAACACUGAAUCUACAACCCAGUUGAUGGCCGGUAACAAAGAAUACAGUAUUUAAGACACUCUUUUUAAUGGUCUUGGACUUGGUGCUGUCAUUGGCCUGGGAGUGGCAGCCCUUUUGUUAAUCCUGGUUGUGACUGAUGUUACCUGCUUCUUUGUACGACAAUGCGGAUUGCUAAUGUGCAUCACCAGGAGAAUCUGUGGGAAAAAAGGUGGUUCAAGUGGAAAAAGCAAAGAACUGGAAGAAGGAAAGGCUGCUUACUUGAAGGAUGGAUCAAAAGAGCCAAUAGUGGAAAUGAGAACAGAGGAUGAAAGAAUUACCAACCAUGAAGACGGGAGUCCUGUAAAUGAGCCAAAUGAGACAACUCCCCUCACAGAACCAGAGAAGCUGCCACUAAAGGAGGAAAAUGGGAAAGAAGCUUUAAAUGCAGAAAACAUAGAAAUCAAAGUUGCUAAUGACAUCAUCCAGUCAAAAGAAGAUGAUAGCAAAGCAUAAUAAGAUAAACUACAGCUGUCUGGAUAAUGCAUUUGGAUUGAAGUAACCCCGUGACCAAAACUUUACAGCUGACCUUCAUUUCUUGGGAAACUUAAGCUUGGAAUAGUUAGUACAUGUGUACAUACGAUGAAACAGUUUCUGUCUACAGUUCCUUUCUAUUUUUUGGUGAAUGGUUUCAAUAUGUAGUUUUGCUGACACCAAGUCCCAUGGUAUAAAUUUGAAAAAUCUGCAGAAAAGAACUGUAAUUUAUUAUAUGAUAAAGUUUGUCUAUUUAGAAGAAGAGUUAUAAAGCACCUCUAACCCCGAACAACACAGGAAGUCUCUCCAGAUCUUACAGUGCACGCUACAUACAUAAAGUGACAUCCACUAGUGUAUUUGUUUCCAUUUAUAAUAAAACAAAAGUUUAGGUUGCCCUUAAAAAAAAAAACAAGUCUCAAUAUAAAGUUUAAGAUCUUAGCAAUGGCAGACACUCAGUAGUCAUUCCAGCUGUGAUUAUCACUUGAAGUAAACACAGAGCCAGCUCCACCUGUAGUUUCACCUGGGUUCUUUGGUAAAAUAAAAAGUUGAUAAUGACCAUGUAGAGAUUUAAAUAAUAUUGGCUAACUAUUUCGUAGCAGUAUAUUGGCCUCAUCCUGACUACAUGAGUGUGGCUCUGAAAGAUUCCAUGAUUUUCAGUGAUUCAGGUUUACUGUAUUAAAGUUUUGGAGAUUGCAUGUGAACUAAAAUACACCAAAGGUGUGAAAAUAAAACUUUCUUUAGUCAUAACCUUGGCUUUCAAUGAAACCUUACAAUAAACACAAGCUAAUUUGGUAUUAGACCAAAUACGUUUUUUCCUGUCUAGCAUUCCUUAAGAUGUUAUUUUUUAUUUAUAUUUAUUAUUCUGCUUAACAUGCACCACUGAAAUUUGACUGAUUUAUUUGAUGCAAAAUUUAUUCAUAUUUAUUACCAUUGAUUUAAUGGUGCCACUAAUUGGAGUAAUAUAUUUUGUUUCUAUUUCAGCAGUGUAUUCACACCUACCAGACUUUUCAAAAUCUUGCUGUGAAAAAAGUAGAUAAACAAUAAAGAAAACUAGAUUGAAAAAUUGUACUUAACAGAGUAAAUUGUAGAGUACCUUAUGGAUUUCUCAAAUCUAAGUCAUACCUGAGGUUUAAGUGUAGCGUUACUCAGUAAAUCAUAUUCUCUCCUCACUGUAUCUGAAUUUUGCUCAUAUUUGAAGUUCUUAUACUUCCCAGUUUCCCACAGGAUGUCAUCAACCCUUAGCUGAUAUUUCGUAGUCGUGCCAAAGUGAUUGACUUUUGUGCAGUAAAGCUGAAAGUGAAAUGUAAAAGAGUGUCCUUAAAUUUGAGGAAGAUGGCAGGUUAACCUUCAUGUUAACCCAAGCUUUAGUGCAUUUGAAAUUGCUGAGGAGGACAUAUUUAAUGCAUAGGUCUUCUUUAUUUUUCAGAAACAAGUCACUUUAUGGGGGUUUUUUACAACUUUUCCUUACUUUAGAAAAUAACAACAAUGAACCAAGUAGUUGAGUACAGCGGCAUGCCACUGGUGUGGCUAGGAUAAGAGGCCAAGUUUCCACAAAACCAGUGCCAAAGUGAAAAGAAUGGGUAAGAGGAGGUAGAAAUGUGGGAUAAAAGUCAUUAAGGAGAAUAAUUUAAAAGUGCUGCAAAGUUUCUUUAAAUACUAAGACACUAUUUCUGAGCGAAGGAAAGAUGAAGUCAUUCCUUUAUGACCUCUCACUGUUGCUCCCACCAAUACUGGGUAGGCAGUACUACCAAAUAGCUGCUUGUUUAUUAAAUUUCAGUCCUGUUUCUUCCUGAGUAAGUACACAGUGAGCUCACCUGUACUUAAGCGAAACAGUUGUCUCUUAUAUAUGAAUAUAUGUUAUUCUCUAAAGUAUAUAUUAGCAGCUGGGCUUUUUCCUCUAUCAAAAUGCAAGGAAGGGACCUGGAAAGUUCCAGCAGUUGAAAAUAAUGUGGCAGCCCACAUCAUCUCAUGCAGUAUUUUUACCAGGGAUGAAGGUAGGAAACAUCUUUUCCCCUUCUACCUGCCAUCACAAACUUAGGUGGUGCUGUGCAUAUUCAUGUAAGUCAAGCUUUGCUAGGCAAAUGGUGCUUUUUUCUGAAUCCAGCAUGAUCAUUUGCACAACAAGGUUCUUGGACAGAGCUGACAGUGUCUAGGCUUGACUGUAGGUGCAUUUCAAAUUUUAGUACUUCUUCUUGAGAUUUACACAAUAAAACUUUAUGGCCUAACAGCUAUAUAUUGGGGUUUUGGGGUUUGUUUUGUUCGUUUUUGUUUUCUAAUAUGGCCUCUAAUUACAGUGUGAAGGAAUUAGAAAAUUUAAGAGGUCUUGUCAGCACAUUUAUUAUUGAUAUGCCUGUGCUGCUCUUUACAAGUAAAAUGUACCACAAAACUAUUUCAAUAUUGGAAGCAAAAGCAUUUCCCACUAUAUUGGAUUAUAAAUCAAAGGUUAUUUCCAGGAGUAUUUAUUUUCUUCCUGCUGUUAAGUCUCCUGCCAGCUGGGCUAUGUGAAGGCUGAGAAUUAAACAGUUCUAAAUUACCAAUGAACUGUCCGAGCAUACCGUUUGGUCUGUUAUCUCUUGUGCUUCGACUGUGCUGCGCAGGAGAAAGCCACGCUAUAACUAUGAAAGAAUGCUUAAAAACACUGAUAUGUGCAAAUAUUUCCAAAGGAGGGACAGCGCAUAGUAAUUUGUAAGAUACGUGUAGAAUGGAAUAACAUCAUUUCUUUACUUUCUUUUCCUAUUCUAGACUAAAAAGAAAAAAAAUAUCUGUAGAAAUGUCACUUUUUCUGUCUAAAAGUAAUUUUAAGUGUUAGUAUGAAAUGUCAGAAGAGUUGACAAAAUAUAACUAUUUGUAAAAAUAAUCUGAAUUGUUACACUAACAUACUCUAGGAACAAGGGUGGGAGGGAACCACUGAAUUAAUUAAUUAUAUGGAAUGUGGCAGUGACAAUCUCUUUUCAACAAAAAAUGAGUAAAAUUAAGUAAAAUGACUUUGAGCUUCUUGUUAUUUUUUUUAGUAGACCUGCAUUCCGAUUUACUGCAACAGUAAGAAAAGUUUUAAUUAGUGUUUAACAAUUUAGUAUACAAAUGUGCUCUGCAGAGUUUUUUCUGAUUUUGUUUUUUGUUUGUUUGGGGUUUUUUGACUUUUACAAUUUUUUUGUGGUUGCAAAAAUAUUUACUAUUCUGGUGAUGCUAAUGUCUGUUGUGACAAAGAUUAGUUUAUUUAGGCCACAGUCUUGCAAGAAAUUAGCGUGGCUGAACCCACCCCUCAUAUGCCACCCCACUGACAUCAGCGGGGUUGAUGUGAGCAGGAGGAUGGAUGUACUUUCAUAAGAGACCUUGCAAGAUUGGGCCUACUAUCUCUUCAUAGAUAUAUGCAACAUAGUCAUACAAUGACAGUCAUCUACAAAGGCUGUUCAACAACAGUCCCUGGUAUAGUAAAUUCCACCUGCUGUCUUCAGCCUCUGCAUUGAUGUUUAUCAAAAAAAGUGGCUUUCUUUUUAUGAUGGUAAUUACUUUGAUUAUUUAUUUAAGUGCCAAUCAUCGAAUUGUAGUAUAAUAAUCAUGCCAUUUUUCUGUUUCCUAGACCGGAUAAUGGAAAUGUAUUUGUGCCUUUUGAUAGCAUGCCACUCUGCUUUAUUAAAGAAAAAUCUUCAGUAAUUUGUCUACAAAGCCUGUUCAAAAUAUUUAAAAGCUCUACCAUGACAUACUUCUCUGCUCAAAUAUGCUCAAAUACUCGUUUGAAGUAAACUGGAGAUAGUAUUCUCAAGUUACGUAAAUAUUUUAAACAUAAAAUUUGCAAAAAUCUAUUGAGAUCACAAUUCUAGUGAGGGUCAUAGUGGGUGUAUUACUGCUGGAAAGAUUCAAGUACACACAUGGGGGGUGUGUAGGGGUGUUUUGACCAAUUUAUCAAGUUGGAGAGUCAGAUAGAUAGAAAGUCUCCUUAGUUAUAUUUAGGUACUUAGACCUAAAACGUUAAAAUCUUUUCUCAAAUCUGAAAGAUUAUGUGGAGCAUCUUCCCACCAUUUUACCUCUGGAAUGAAACUGCAGUGAAUAUCUGUUUUGCAGUGGCCUCACCAUCUUUGUAAACUGUCAUAUGAAGUAAUAUCUUUGUAGAGAUAUUGUUGCAUCUGUUGGAUGACAUUCACUCCUGAUUAAAGGGCCCCAAAAAGACAAUUUACUGAAAAAGCUCAAGAACCCUAUUACAAAUUGACCUAUGGAGGGGUGCUGAGAGCACUGCAAGAAGGGCCACAGUGGAAUCCAGGUAUCACUAGGCUCAAACUGACUUCAGUGGGUCCUGAGUUUCAUCCAUUCAUCUUAGUAAGGCUCUGCAUGUCCUCAGCUGAUCAAGUCGCUUUUGCAAAUCGGACUUCAAGUAAGUGGGACUUAAAUGUCCUGCCAGGUUCCUGCUAAAAUUUUGCGUAGAGGAGGUUUUCCCGUCGGGAGUUUGUACUGAUCAGGAAAUGCUGAUAAAAAUAUCUGAUCACAGUUUUAUCCUGUACUAGAUGCCCACAAAUAAAAGAAAUAUAAGAAACUAAACAUUCCUCUAAACAAGUCAUUGUGAUUGUGGUACUUCUUUAGGUGAAGAUUAAAACAUUCUAAGAAAUAGUAUUUCUUCUUAAAUCCAUUUAUUUAACUUCAGAUACUUGUGCCAAUUGAUGCAAAGCUACUAUGCUCUUUUUUAAAAAAAGGAUCCACCCCUUUUUCCAUAUUUUUUCACAUCAUUUCCUGGAGUACCCAGUCCACUUGACAGCAGUUCUGUAGUGGUGGGAGGAUACCACUCACUAAGUUUUAAGUGAUCGUCAAUAUUUCCACUGCAUAUUAAUGUGUUCUUUUAUCAUUUUACUUGAACCUGAGCCAAAAAGAAGCCUUUCUGUUAUAAAUUUGGCUUUGGAUUAGGUUCUGAGAAAUCACAGUUUACAAGUCUAUCUUUCCUCUUAACAGGCAUUGUAAGCCUCAUGAUGUUUGACUUUCAAACUUGAAUAUUGGCCAUUUUUAGCCCAGAGAAAUGAAAUAAAUAUUUAUUGCCAAAUUUGUAUUGGCAGCUUUUAAGUCAUAGGUGAGAUUGGGAGCGGGCAAGAUGACCAGAUGCAGUGCUGGCAUUUCAGGAAAGCCACUACCAGAGAGAACAGGUGCCAAAGAGUGAGCUGAGAAAUUGCUCAGAUACUGGGAAUGUCCUUAGCGGUGACAGGGGAAGUGGGGAGCUGCUGAAACAAGAGAGGCUGCUGGAGGGCAUUGCCAAAGUCAGGGUCCUGCAAGCUGUGAAAACCAGAGGAGAGAGAGUAUUAACCCUGCUGUAUCCUUUAACUCGGCCAUAUAAGUAGGCUACAUUUUUAAAUCUAAAAGGCAGGGUUUGGGGAAGGGAAAACAAACCCCUAGAGUCUCUAUAGAUCAGUGACAAAUAUAUAAAGCAGUCAGACCCCCCAGGAAGAUAAUUUUGUUGCUCACGGUAUAGAGUUCUCACUAAGAAUUUUGAACUACUUAGACAAGGUUUUAAAAAAGAAAUAGCUUUCCUGCUACAAUGAGCACUCGGUAUGUAUUUGUAUGCUGUGUACAGUAUAAGCUAAAGCAUACCAUAUAUUGUUUUUGUUAUUCCACACAUUGUCAACAGCCCACUUGCGAUAUAUACCACCUGAAUUAUGUAUUGGUAAGUUAGCUACCACUGGAGCUAGUUUGUUUAUUGUUUCAAAAUCUUAUGUCCCUAUGAAAUGCUGUGUAUAUAUAUAUCUCUAUACUGUAAAAAGAAGUAAUAUUGCAGAUGCUGGUUUUGUAUUUAUGAAAGACAUUGAAAGUAUGGCUUAAAGUAUAUCAAUUAUUUGUCACUCUUCACCAUUUGUAUAUUAAUAGUAAAGAUACUUUUACUUUAAUGAA
Molecule: RNA transcript, 8651 nt
Organism: Strigops habroptila (Kakapo)
Lineage: Eukaryota; Metazoa; Chordata; Aves; Psittaciformes; Psittacidae
Gene: NCAM2
Gene name: neural cell adhesion molecule 2
Exons: 19
Source: RefSeq, a predicted model, not a curated record